GACGAACGCUGGCGGCGUGCUUAACACAUGCAAGUCGAACGGAAAGGCCCUGCUUGCAGGGUACUCGAGUGGCGAACGGGCGAGUAACACGUGGGUGAUCUGCCCUGCACUUCGGGAUAAGCCUGGGAAACUGGGUCUAAUACCGGAUAGGAGCCAUUUUUAGUGUGAUGGUUGGAAAGUUUUUUCGGUGUAGGAUGAGCUCGCGGCCUAUCAGCUUGUUGGUGGGGUAAUGGCCUACCAAGGCGGCGACGGGUAGCCGGCCUGAGAGGGUGGACGGCCACAUUGGGACUGAGAGACGGCCCAGGCUCCUACGGGAGGCAGCAGUGGGGAAUAUUGCACAAUGGGCGCAAGCCUGAUGAAGCGACGCCGCGUGGGGGAUGACGGCCUUCGGGUUGUAAACUCCUUUCGCUAGGGACGAAGCUUUUUGUGACGGUACCUAGAUAAGAAGCACCGGCUAACUACGUG
RNAcentral lists this ribosomal RNA (465 nucleotides) under uncultured bacterium. RNAcentral's name for it is "partial 16S ribosomal RNA". It matches the Rfam family "Bacterial small subunit ribosomal RNA", at positions 28 to 507 of the family's 1533-position model. The record is from RNAcentral.